GCCUGGGUGGCUCAGUCGGUUAAGCGUCCGACUUCGGCUCAGGUCAUGAUCUCGCAGUUUGUGGGUUCGAGCCCCACGUCGGGCU
RNAcentral lists this transfer RNA (85 nucleotides) under Felis catus (domestic cat). It matches the Rfam family "tRNA". Rfam says of the family: Transfer RNA (tRNA) molecules are approximately 80 nucleotides in length. Their secondary structure includes four short double-helical elements and three loops (D, anti-codon, and T loops). Lineage: Eukaryota; Metazoa; Chordata; Mammalia; Carnivora; Felidae. The record is from Rfam by way of RNAcentral.